AUGCUCGUCAGAGGGUGGGCCCCACAGACCGCCAUCCUGGCUCAUCCGGCCGUGGGGGCAUUCCUGACGCACUGCGGGUCGAGCUCUCUGCUGGAGGCGGCGGCGGCCGGCGUGCUGAUGCUGACGUGGCCGCUGGUGUUCGACCAGUUCAUCGAGGAGAGGCUGGUCACGGACGUUCUCAAGAUCGGAGAGAGGGUGUGGGACGGGCCACGGAGCACGAGGUACGAGGAGCAGCAGAUGGUGCCGGCCGCGGCGGUGGCGCGGGCCGUGGCGAGGUUCUUGGAGCCUGGGGGAACAGGGGAGGCGGCGAGGGCUCGAGCGCAGGAGCUCGCCGUGAAGGCUCACGCCGCCGUGGCGGAAGGCGGGUCGUCGUACAAUGAUCUGCACAGGCUUAUCAGCGAUCUGAUGGAAACACGGAAGAUCUAG
Molecule: ribosomal RNA, 426 nt
Filed under: Triticum aestivum (bread wheat)
Lineage: Eukaryota; Viridiplantae; Streptophyta; Magnoliopsida; Poales; Poaceae
Description: partial small subunit ribosomal RNA
Source: RNAcentral